UAAACUGAUAGUUGGUAAAAA
This is a non-coding RNA of Caenorhabditis elegans, 21 nucleotides long. The record is from Ensembl. NCBI's taxonomy places the organism in Eukaryota, Metazoa, Nematoda, Chromadorea, Rhabditida, Rhabditidae.